UUCAGUACGACAUUGCUCACAUUGCUUCCAGUAUUUCUUGCCCGCCUCUGCGCGGGCUUUUUUUU
This 65-nucleotide non-coding RNA is filed under the name Citrobacter rodentium ICC168. The record is from RNAcentral. Lineage: Bacteria; Pseudomonadati; Pseudomonadota; Gammaproteobacteria; Enterobacterales; Enterobacteriaceae.